GAUGAACGCUAGCUACAGGCUUAACACAUGCAAGUCGAGGGACCGGCGCACGGGUGAGUAACACGUAUCCAACCUGCCCUUUACUCGGGGAUAGCCUUUCGAAAGAAAGAUUAAUACCCGAUAUAAAGGAUGGGGAUGCGUUCCAUUAGGUUGUUGGUGAGGUAACGGCUCACCAAGCCUUCGAUGGAUAGGGGUUCUGAGAGGAAUGUCCACGACGUUGGAACUAAGACAAGGCCCAAACUCCUACGGGAGGCAGAGGUGAAGAAGAAUGAUAAACGGGGGCUAGCCUGAACCAGCCAAGUAGAGUGAAGGAGGAAGGCUUAUGGGUCGUAAACUUCUUAUAUAUAAAAAAAUGUAUUAGAAGAAUAAGGAUCGGCUAACUCCGUGCCAGCAGCCGCGGUAAUUA
This 406-nucleotide ribosomal RNA is filed under the name uncultured bacterium. RNAcentral describes it as "partial 16S ribosomal RNA". It matches the Rfam family "Bacterial small subunit ribosomal RNA", at positions 28 to 525 of the family's 1533-position model. The record is from RNAcentral.